RNAcentral lists this RNase P RNA (392 nucleotides) under Methanobacteriota archaeon. RNAcentral's name for it is "Euryarchaeota archaeon (groundwater metagenome) RNase P RNA component". It matches the Rfam family "Archaeal RNase P". From Rfam's summary of the family: Ribonuclease P (RNase P) is a ubiquitous endoribonuclease, found in archaea, bacteria and eukarya as well as chloroplasts and mitochondria. Its best characterised activity is the generation of mature 5'-ends of tRNAs by cleaving the 5'-leader elements of precursor-tRNAs. Cellular RNase Ps are ribonucleoproteins. The record is from RNAcentral. Lineage: Archaea; Methanobacteriati; Methanobacteriota.
GCGAGCUGGAGGGCAUCUCACGCUACAGAGAAAUCAGCGAAAGCUGAUUUUGAGUAAGCGAGGAAACUCCGCCCAUCGCUGCGGAACCCAACUCUUCGAAAGAGGAGGGGCCGAGAGGCUCAGCUCUGGAGCAGAAACGACACUUCGACGGGAGCAUAUCGAGGACGGCGAAAGCCUGAGAGCGACCGGAGAAGAUGAAACGGCCAACUUUGGGGAUGCAAGCUAAAAAUCGCCAACGGGCUCCGCACCCGGCGGUAGGUCAAGCGCUAAGACGAAUGAUGUCCAAAAGGGAAGCCUCCCUUUUGGAGAAUUCCCUCUUUAGAUUCGUCUAAUAUAGGGGUUCUCCAAGGGGUGAGCCCCUUGGAACAGAAGGCGGGUUACUCCCAGCACGC